RNAcentral lists this long non-coding RNA (285 nucleotides) under Arabidopsis lyrata. RNAcentral's name for it is "long non-coding RNA (ALYR_LNC000522)". Lineage: Eukaryota; Viridiplantae; Streptophyta; Magnoliopsida; Brassicales; Brassicaceae. The record is from RNAcentral.
CUUGAACUUGUUGAGCAGCACGGAGCAAGGAAGCAGCUUGAACCAGAGGAGCAGCAUGAACCUGAGGAUGAGCUUGUAGCUGCGGAUGUUCUAUUGAAGAAGUUGAUCAAACCACCUUGGCUUGGAGAAAGAGAUAAGCCAAUUGGAUUCAACAAUGGGAGAGUGAUCCAAUUGUACUCUUUUUCCCUUGUUGAGUUUUGUCCCAAUGGGUUUCCUCAACAAGGUUUUUAAUGAGGCAAUUGUGUCACUCCAUCAUGGCCCAUUUGUUGAAUCAGAAGCCCAUGG